RNAcentral lists this ribosomal RNA (411 nucleotides) under uncultured archaeon. RNAcentral describes it as "bacterial SSU rRNA". It matches the Rfam family "Archaeal small subunit ribosomal RNA", at positions 1 to 399 of the family's 1478-position model. The record is from RNAcentral.
UCCGGUUGAUCCUGCCAGAGGCCGCUGCUAUCCGGCUGGGACUAAGCCAUGCUAGUCUAGGGGCUUGUACUCCUUCGGGGGUGCAAGCACCGGCGGACGGCUCAGUAACACGUGGACAACCUGCCCUCGGGUGGGGGAUAACCCCGGGAAACUGGGGCUAAUCCCCCAUAGGUGAUGGGUGCUGGAAUGCCCCAUCUCCGAAAGCGCUUAGCGCCCGAGGAUGGGUCUGCGGCGGAUUAGGUAGUUGGUGGGGUAACGGCCCACCAAGCCUAAGAUCCGUACGGGCUGUGGGAGCAGGAGCCCGGAGAUGGACCCUGAGACAAGGGUCCAGGCCCUACGGGGCGCAGCAGGCGCGAAACCUCCGCAAUGCGGGAAACCGCGACGGGGUUAGCCGGAGUGCCCGUGCAUUGC